GAGUCUGAGUGCAGUGGUGUUUACACCUAACUGAUCACAACCAUUUUACAGAUUUCUUUGUUCCUUCUCCACUUCCCACUGCUUCACUUGGCUACACUAAA
Molecule: Y RNA, 101 nt
Organism: Callithrix jacchus (white-tufted-ear marmoset)
Lineage: Eukaryota; Metazoa; Chordata; Mammalia; Primates; Cebidae
Rfam family: Y RNA
About the family: Y RNAs are components of the Ro ribonucleoprotein particle (Ro RNP), in association with Ro60 and La proteins. The Y RNAs and Ro60 and La proteins are well conserved, but the function of the Ro RNP is not known.
Source: Ensembl